CAAAGCCAGUCGAGCUCCGUGUGAGGUCGAGUUUGGAAAAUGAGAGCAGUGGCACUGAGGAUUCUGGUCACUCAUCAUCAAAACCUCUGAAGAGAACACUUUGAGGAAAAUGGUUUGGAAAAAGAUCCAACAAGGAGCUCUCACGAUAUUUCUCUGACCGGCCUUAUCAUCAACAAGGCAUUGUUAAAGAAAGGUGCAAAGUAUUCAAAAUCUCAGUGCUCUUGCUGAUCACUUUUCAUGCCAGCUACUUCUGAAGUUACCCAACAAACUGUCGAGUACAUCAGAAAGACAAGAACUCAACUUCAAG
Long non-coding RNA from Humulus lupulus (European hop), 307 nucleotides. RefSeq lists it as uncharacterized. Lineage: Eukaryota; Viridiplantae; Streptophyta; Magnoliopsida; Rosales; Cannabaceae. The transcript has 3 exons. The record is from RefSeq and is a predicted model, not a curated record.